This 253-nucleotide ribosomal RNA is filed under the name uncultured bacterium. RNAcentral describes it as "partial 16S ribosomal RNA". It matches the Rfam family "Bacterial small subunit ribosomal RNA", at positions 524 to 776 of the family's 1533-position model. The record is from RNAcentral.
GACGGAGGAUGCAAGUGUUAUCCGGAAUCACUGGGCGUAAAGCGUCUGUAGGUGGUUUAAUAAGUCAACUGUUAAAUCUUGAGGCUCAACCUCAAAAUCGCAGUCGAAACUAUUAGGCUAGAGUAUAGUGGGGGUAAAGGGAAUUUCCAGUGGAGCGGUGAAAUGCGUAGAGAUUGGAAAGAACACCGAUGGCGAAGGCACUUUACUGGGCUAUUACUAACACUCAGAGACGAAAGCUAGGGUAGCAAAUGGG